Molecule: long non-coding RNA, 1080 nt
Filed under: Bemisia tabaci
Lineage: Eukaryota; Metazoa; Arthropoda; Insecta; Hemiptera; Aleyrodidae
Description: lncRNA ENSSSA1NGG000222
Source: RNAcentral
AUGCCCAAUUAUUGCAUUCAUAUUGACCCAUUCUUCGGAUUCGCGAGGAACGAACAUAAAUGCGAUUUUGAAUUGUUCAUUACCUACUCAGAGAUGGAACACGGCGCAGAGUUGAGCGACCACGUUCAUAAUGCUACCCGUGGUCUAUUCCGAAACCCAAUUUGGAACUCUAAAAACCAUCUGAUCUUUGUCGUAAAUCCUUCCGAGAUAGGAGUAUUUCAUUCAACAGAAGCGAGCAAUGAGUUGAGGUCAUCUUUGGAAGAUAAACCAGCAAGGAAAUGGGCGCAAAUAAGGGCGGAGUUGCAGUUCCUCUUCAAAUUUAUGUGGCGCUUCUUCAAAGGGAUAAAAACUGUUAUUUGCCUUCAGGCGGAUUGCUUCUACUACAACCCGUUCGCGAAACAUGUGUUACGGUACCCAAUUUCGGGUGCCGAAAAUCAAGUCAACUUUGAUUGGAAUGAUUGGGGUGGGUGGGAAUUCUCGGUCAAAAUCACUGAGGAAAUCGACACAGAAAGAGCCUCUAUGUUCACUCUCUGGGACGACAUUUUGAUGGAAGCGUUAGAAGAUGUUCAAAAAUCCAAAAAAUGCGUGUUUUUCCCAUUCAAAGAACCGGAAGGAUUCGAUUAUUACGAGGACGGUCACAGAUAUGGGCCGGAUAUUCUUAUCGCGAUGCAUGGGUUCAGUCCUGAACACGAAACUACCGAUUUCGCAAAUUUCGACGCAUCAGGCACCGUUGAACACUGCAACUUGUGUAUCGUGACCCCGCGUGCUGCUUUCGUACCCCAAUUUUUGGUCUUCAUUAAGUGUGUCGACCCCUCCGUCUGGUUAUGUUUCUUAAUGUCGGUUCUUGUGCUUUACUCAUGCAAUAUUUAUUCCAGUACUCACAGGUUAGAAUAUUCAGUCGGCUGUACUCAACCGGGGAGUUAUUUGCUUACGAGAAGACAUCCGCUUUCUUACCGUUUGGGAGUACUUCAUGUGUGGAGCACCAAUGAGGCUUCUUCUGGGACGCUUGCUCACGGGAAAAAUCCUUUUUUGUAUUUUCAUCUUCGCUGUUUUAAUAUUUCCCACAGUCAUUCAGAGUAG